CAGAUCCUUGCACACCCAUGUCCCUAGCAGCAUUAUUCACAGUACCCCGAAGCGGGAAGGUAACCUAAGUGUCCAUCAACAGGUGGACGGAUAAAAAAAAUAUGUCAGACACAUACAAUGGAAUAGUAUUCAGCCUUAAAAGGAAGGAAAUUCUGACACAUGCUGCAGCAUGGAUGAGCCUUGAUGACAAUAUGCUAAAGUAAGUAAGCCAGUCACAAAAAGGUAAAUACCGUAUGAUACCACUUACACGAGGUACCUAGAGAAUAGUCAGAUGUCAGGAGACAGCCCCUGGUGGGGAGGAGCGGUGAGAGGGGAGCUGUUGUUUAACGGGUAUUGCAAGUUUUGCAAGAUGAGUUCUGGAGAUGCAGGGUGGUGAUGGUUUUGCAACAUUGUGAGUGUAUUAAAUCCCACUGACUUGGGCAUGUAAAAAUGGCUAGUGAGGGAAAUUUUACUUUAUGUGUAUUUUCCCACAGUUUGAAAUCGUUUUUCAAUGAUGCUGAUGCAGGGCCAGCCUAACUGAAUCAGACCCUCUGAGAGUGGGGCUUGGGCUCAGGCAUUCUGUAAAAGCUCCCUGGGGUUUUCUGCUGCACUGUGGGUGUUAUGGAGUUUGGCUCUAGAACCAUAGGCCUCCGUCCUGGCCCUCCUCUGGAAACGCUCAUCUUCAGGACCAAAUGUCAUUUGCUAGUUUGAGCCAAAAUAAAAAGGAAAGUCACUGGCAUUACCUCCUGCGCAUAUUCUCUUGAGCAUAUUCUUCUUGGAGAAAAGAAAAGAUGCUUCUGUCUUGGGUUUGCCAGCAAGAAAGAGUCUUCUGUGUGCUUUAUUCUAAUCUGAAACAAACCUCACUCUGAAUUCUCUGACCCAGGGGGAAAAAAAAAAAGCUCUGGUAUCUGGAGAAAGCAAAUGGAUCCCAGGCUCCAAUCAAGAGAAGAAUGCCUGGGGAAUCAGAAGAACAUUAUGGUGUCGUAUAAAUUUCUGCCCUGCAGGUCCCUGGGGUACCUCGGAGGCCACACCAGUGCCAACAAGAGGAAUUCCUGAAGGAUUGGCUGAGACCUCAUUUACAACCACUGGUGAGUCAACUUCUCUGCCUAAUCCUGCCUUCC
This 1100-nucleotide long non-coding RNA is filed under the name Capra hircus (goat). RNAcentral's name for it is "lncRNA (ENSCHIG00000005759.1)". The record is from RNAcentral. Lineage: Eukaryota; Metazoa; Chordata; Mammalia; Artiodactyla; Bovidae.